This 958-nucleotide long non-coding RNA is filed under the name Salmo salar (Atlantic salmon). RNAcentral's name for it is "lncRNA (ENSSSAG00000114947.1)". Lineage: Eukaryota; Metazoa; Chordata; Actinopteri; Salmoniformes; Salmonidae. The record is from RNAcentral.
CUGAUUCAUCCAAUGCGAAAUAAUUUUCCAAACUAUGGAUUAAAAGCAAAAGUAACAGCAAACAUAUGGCAUUUUGUGGAGGAAAAUAAAUAAUCCAUCGUAUUGUAAACACCAUGCCAGCUAAUUCCAUGGACACGGAGCCGUGGAACUGAGUCAGAGAAGGAGUCCCGGGAGGACUGUUUUUGACGAUGCACAGGUGGGCCUAUCAAUCCUCAGCCUGUUUACAUGGCUGCCAGAUGUUCGACACCAUGACCACGAGAAAGCCUGCGAGGAGUUUGCAGAUGCCACAACUCCACUUAACAAAUGCGAGUCAUGCUCCCGCGGGCCAAUUUACACUGGUUAGUUGUGACACCCCCUCAAGGCUAACACUAAUUUCACUAACGAUUUUGGCGGUGGAAGCGAUGCUAGCUGUGACCUUGCAGCAGUGUAAUGAUAUUGUCGGUGACUACACAAGGCCACUGCAUGCUGUGACAUGGGCCUGGAUGGUGACAUCUUCUUCAAGCAACAUGACUAAAUACUGAGGCCUGCAGUGGUACCGGAAGCAAGGGCCUUACCUGGGAGUACAGCAACAGUCUUUCUCUCUCUGUCUUGCCAUUCUGUCAACGUGUAUUGUAUGUAACCACUUAAAUUCAUACGAACUGCUACACAAGCAAUCACUGACUUAUAUUCACUUUGUCUACUUGUCCCAUUCUUUAAUUUUGUCUGGUAUAUGUGUUUUAGUUGACACACCUGUGUGAUGUGUAUGAUAUACAUGAAUACUAAUGUAUUCACUCUGGACAUGAGACUUGCAUUUAUUUUAGACCUUUUGAAUCAUAAGCUCUAAGUGUAUUUGUCUGGAUGUUUAAGUUACCACUGAAGUUGGUAAAAAUGUAAAGAUCAAUGUAAAAAAUAUUCUAUGAAAAAGUUAUUGUUUUGUAAUCUUACAAUUGAAAAAUGAAAAAGAGCUGUUUAUACAAAA